Molecule: ribosomal RNA, 253 nt
Filed under: uncultured bacterium
Lineage: Bacteria
Description: partial 16S ribosomal RNA
Rfam family: Bacterial small subunit ribosomal RNA
Source: RNAcentral
UACGGAGGGUGCAAGCGUUAUCCGGAUUCACUGGGUUUAAAGGGUGUGUAGGCGGGUCGUUAAGUGUCUUGUGAAAUCCCCCGGCUCAACCGGGGAAUGGCUGGGCAUACUGGCGAUCUUGAGCAGUCUAGGGGCAGAUGGAACAAGUGGUGGAGCGGUGAAAUGCGUAGAUAUCACUUGGAACGCCAAAGGUGAAAACAGUCUGCUGGGGACUUGCUGACGCUGAGACACGAAAGCCAGGGGAGCGAACGGG